CCUGUUUUCAUGUAGCUUUGCUUUUAGUUUUCCUGAUUGCUUUCUCCCUCCUGAUGUGUGUCACCUGUGUCUCGUUGUCAUGUCUAUUUAGUCCUUGUCUUCCCAGUCACCUUUGUCUGUGCGUCUGCGUUUUUCCACCCAGGUCAAGCCAGGAUCUAUUGUUAGUUUUGCCUUGCCCUGUUUUUGUCAGGAGUUAAGCCACAGAUAUUCACAGAUCCUAAGACACAGGAAAAACGGAGAACAGUGUUCACGAGCAUUUGAAAACGCACAACAUGCAGACAUAUGUCUGCCAUGAGCCAGAUGCAGUGGGAAUCAUCAUUGAGGGAAUCCCAGUUCUUACUGAUCUUGGCGAUCUGGCCAGGGCAUGUUGCCUGCUUCUGGGGAUGAAAUAUACUCUGAACCUGCACUAUCCACCCCAGCUCUGCAAAACAUUUGAGUUAAAUUGAGAACAACAUGGCACCUUCACAUCAACAGAUGGAACAGCAGAUCCCACUCAUGGCUCUUGGAAAUGGAUCAUCCUUUCAUGCGGUCUGGUACUUCUGUUCUUCAUUCCUCUCACUGUUUGGUUAGUUCGUCACUACAGGUACCAGAUGUUUUGCACUCGUAGUUGCUGGCCAGUUUCCAAAGAAGCCCUGCCGGCCAUGGAGCUUCCUGCAACCAAGCAGGAUGCAACGGAAGUGCAGUGGGAUUUAUCCUGGAUGGAAAUGUCAAAUCUGCUGGAUAAGCAGUUAUAUCCUGGCACUUAAAGGGUAACUCUUACAUGCAGUAUACAGGAACCACUAAGUGGAGUGCCAUAUGAGAUGCUUCAGAGUGCUGCUAUGGAUGUAUGAACAAUUUGUAGCAAAUGAAGAUCACAGAAAGGCCCCAGUGUGUGCCACAAGGGUCUGUUACUGGUAAAUUUAUCUAAACUACCUGCCUAUGAUUUGUAUUUGUAUUUUCUCUGUUCACUGAUACAAGACUUUUGUACACUAAUACAAAAUGCUAAUACAGAGAUGAUGUAAACUUUGAAAUGGUUAGCUGAGCAAACUUACUAAUAAUAUUAAAAAGACAAGCUUUGUAAUUUACAGAAAAUACUCCAAAGACUGAACAAAUAUUACAUAUUUAUAAAUAGUCUCUUUUAUGAGUUAUAAUAUUAUAUACUGUAUAUUAACUGUUGUUAAUUGUUAGGGGUGCUACUAACUCCUUAACAAGAUACUUUAAAUUCAGAAAAAUCAUAUCACUGACAUAAUUUCAAGUAACUAUGACUGUCAAGUGUUUAGGAAAUAUAAUAAAUAAUGUCAAUAUAUUAAGCAUAUGUUUUUAUGUAUUGGUUCUACCUAAUAUCCAUCCUGCUAUUUUCCAAAAUGUUUUAAAUGUUUCAAAUCAGACCUUACCUCAGUUUGUCAAAGAAUUCAAAUGCACUUAAAUAUAGAUGUCACACUCUCUUGAGUCUUCAAGACUGAGCUGAAAAAAAAUCGAAUUGAUGCCAAGUAGUGUAUUAUUUGUACAGCGUAUUAUUUAUUUGUUAUUGCUAUUUUAGGCUCUGGAUUUAAAUGAUGCCAUUUCUUAUAGAGACCCAUAACCAUUAUCUGUCAGGAUAGAUGACAUGGGGAACUACAUGACUCACCAUUAAAAAAAAUAUACAUUUUGGUAAUUUACAUGAAGUACAUCACUAUAAAAAUAAAUAUACACGCAUAUCAUAGGCAUUAUAUCUUUGUUAUUAUUUGAGUCAACUGAAAGCACCACCAAGCAUUUUAUUUACAGCUUUCCUAGCUUUUAUUGUCUUGGGCUCUGACAAUUUCAUUCAAUCAUUUGUCUCACUUUUUUUUGUAAGCAGCAGAUUUGAAAUAAAAUCAAAUGUACUCA
Molecule: long non-coding RNA, 1845 nt
Organism: Scatophagus argus
Lineage: Eukaryota; Metazoa; Chordata; Actinopteri; Scatophagidae
Exons: 5
Source: RefSeq, a predicted model, not a curated record